RNAcentral lists this unclassified non-coding RNA (283 nucleotides) under uncultured fungus. RNAcentral's name for it is "partial contains small subunit ribosomal RNA, internal transcribed spacer 1, and 5.8S ribosomal RNA". The stretch from base 1 to 73 matches the Rfam family "Eukaryotic small subunit ribosomal RNA", at positions 1759 to 1831 of the family's 1831-position model. The record is from RNAcentral. Lineage: Eukaryota; Fungi.
GCAAACUUGGUCAUUUAGAGGAAGUAAAAGUCGUAACAAGGUCUCCGUAGGUGAACCUGCGGAGGGAUCAUUACGAGCCGCGGCCCUUUCCGGGCCGGGACACCACCCCGUGACAUCACGACGCCGUUGCUUCGGCGGGCCGCCGCGGCCCGGGGCUUCCCCCGCGCCCGCGCCCGCCGGAGGCCCCCCAAAACCGAGCCUUGUCCGCCGUCUGAGUGGGAUGUGAAUGCCUAAAACUUUCAACAACGGAUCUCUUGGCUCUGGCAUCGAUGAAGAACGCAGC